This is a long non-coding RNA of Rhinichthys klamathensis goyatoka, 3447 nucleotides long. RefSeq lists it as uncharacterized. Lineage: Eukaryota; Metazoa; Chordata; Actinopteri; Cypriniformes; Leuciscidae. The transcript has 5 exons. The record is from RefSeq and is a predicted model, not a curated record.
GCCCUAGGCUAUCAAAAAUGUCAGUUUUAUUAAUGUCAAAACCACUGGAAGGCUGUGAAGGGAAAAAGCUGGACGCUGGAGGGAUAACCAGCCACGCCAGGGGAAAACCAAGACAUUUCCUACAAAUCCGAGCUCUGACUGCUAGACUGGUUCAUGAUCAGGACAAGGGGGAGAUUGUAAUCACUUGCCAGGACACAUUUAUGGUAAUGGCAAGUUGCUUCACGCAGUGAGGAACUUCACUUGCAACUGUUGUGCCGAUGCAUUAUAAAGGCAGAUGAUGUUUUUAAUAGCUGUUAUUAAGACAUGGCUUGCCUCGACAGAUAUCAUGACAAAUGAAGGCAGAAUGUUGUGCAACAAGUAAAAUCAAACUGAGACUUAAACUCACCUUGGAAAUAUAGGCCUUGAUACCCUCAGCUAAUUUGAUGCAAGGCUCUCCAAACAGUUGGGCCAGGUCUUCGGGAAUGUCCCGGUCUUUAUCCAGGGCGUUAAGCAAGCCAAGGCACCGCAGCUCUUCUGUAACCCCCUGACUCUUAACCUGCCAAAAGAAUGAAAAUUAGAACACAAGUCCAAAUCACAACCCCUUAAUCUGUAAAAUAAAAUGUGGUUUGAAUGCCACGUCAUCCCAAGAAAUGAUGAGAACAGCACUUUGGUUUAGGAAGCAAAUUGGGAAACAGGGGGCUGAAGGCAUGCUCAAUGAGGAAACAAUCUGCUCAAGGCCGAAGCGUAGGCUGAAGAUCAAAACAAGGGCAAGUAUCCCUCUUGACCCUUUCCUGGAAAGUAGAUGAGGACAUCUGCAACGGGGCUUGCUAUGGAAAGCCAAUGGGCAACAAGUUCAGCUCAAAGACCUUGAGCCAGCUGGAGAGAAACUCGGAGCCGCUCCAAGAAAUAUAUGUUUCCAGUUAAGGAUCUCUGUGCGCAAUUUCGAAGCCUUGAGUCACGGUCCGCCAAAGCUCCUAAUGACUCUCCAGUCGCCGGCGGAGCGUGGCAGCAGAAGUUCCCCCCUGCGGUCUCAAAGAAAGGAAAGCAGGCAGAAAGUUGGUAGUGAUCUAAAUGAUCUGCGAGGGCUGAAGCUCUGCAACUUCGGAUGAAUUCCCCGAGGACAACAGGUUUGUCUAAGCAGGUCUUCAAAGGAAACUUCAGCCAAAUAUUCAAUUUGUGCAUUUGGCAAAGAACAAACUCAGAGGAGAUUGUUCUCUUUCUCUAGAAGACCACACAGAAGUCAAAACCUGUCUAGUCAAUAGAAAGCAAUGCUGUGGCUUUGGGUCGACUAGUCUCUAAAAGCAACAAAUCAUGUCACGAUAAGAAGGGAACCCCCAUUUUGAUAAAAGUUUGAGUUUUAUUUAGACUCACACAAUGAAAAGUAUGCAAACAAGUUCAGUAGGUGCUUUCCUCUCAAUGACGAGUUUCUCUAAAAUUAGCGCAUGUGACACAAACAAUGAGUUAAAGUUAGUGAUAGAGGGCAUUCUCAGCAUGCCAUCGGCCCUCUAGCACACACCUGUACAUACAAACAUUCAACUUUACAAUGACCCGUGCCAUUGUGUGUGGCAAAAGCCCCAGUUGCCAAGGGCAACUAUUCUUUUUUCUCAUAAUCACCUUUGUCUUGGCUCCUCUCAUUGGCUCAUAAAUCUUUGGUAAAUGGCCAAUGAAGACAGGCCUUAUUAAGAGUCCAUUGUGAUGCGUUUUUAAAGCCCUCUGGGUGUUCUAUGAAGUCUCGGGCCAUCGCUGUCCCGUUCUGCUCUGUCUGACUGAAUGUUACACUUCUAGAAUACCAACUACGUGCCUGUCAGUGGACCCCGGUUUCUUUUCCCGAACCAAAUGGGGCCCCAGUCGUUUCGUCCUGCUAGAAUAUCUAAGCACUUCUGAGAAGCAGGAUUUGUUUUUUUUUCUCUGCACAUAAUUAAUACAGAAAUUAAACAUGACAGGAACAGAUUGGAGUAAUUAUGAACUUAGUUUAACUCAAGUUACUGGACUGAAUACGUUUUAGCAUCCUUUUGGGGCUAAUCACACCAGAAAAGACCGUUACAUUUGAUUAUUGUCAAAUAAAGACAGAUAAAAUGCCCCUAAAUGUCUUUGGAACAUUCAGUCCGCAGAGUUUUCAUUACUGUGCUAAUGGCGCUAAAUGAGGGAGUAGCAUUGUUUAUUAGCCGUCCUGUUGGUGUAAACCGGGGCUUUAUUUGUCCUUGCAGGCUCUGAUAAUUUGGUAAAAUGGAGGUGUUUACUCGUCUUUUAGGACAACACUGUGAGCAUCCCAUCUGGCCAGUGCACCAAGAUGAGCACAGGAUAUUUAUCUUGUCGUUGUGUUGAAUUGAUGACCGUCAAUAUGGGGGAAAAAAUCUUUAAUCCUUCACUAACACCACGUUGAUGUUUAAUCCUUGAAAAUAUUUUCCUAAGGCUUUUUGUUCAUGUACGACUGAAACUUCAUCAUAACUCGGGGCCCUUGAAAUAGGCCGGGAGAUAUUUCAAACCUUUUCUCAGAUUUAUUAGAAAAGCCCGCGACUUGUGCGUUACACAAGAUUUAUACCGAGAAGUGAAUCAUUGCUUGGCCUAGUUUAAUUUACUUAGCAAAGAUGAAAAAUAAAAGUAGCUACUCUGUGCUACCUAAUGAAUUUAGAUGCAGGACGAAAUUUAUACAUUUAUCAAAUUUAUAGCUCAAAGUUGCUUUAUAUCGGUGACAUUUAUACAGAGCUUUGUCCUUGUGUCAGUUUUGUAUUUGAGGCUGAACCAGAGUGUGUAAGACUGGAAUCUAUCCAUGCCUUCUUCGGGCCUGGCAAACAUAACGUAACUUGAAUCCGCAAAGAAUUAUCAGAGAAAAGCAGCCACAAUUAGAUGUAAUUAUAUGUUCUCCAUAAAAAGCAUGCUAUUACAGUAAGAACGAAAGGGAAAGACAGAGGAAAAUUGAAUAAGAAUAAAGACCAAAUGUAAAGGAGAGGGGAAACAAGAGGGUGAGAGAGUGAGACGUUGUGGAUCUUGGCAAUGGAAAAUGUCACAGGAGGUUUACCAUGGGGAGCCUGAGAGGAGACAAACAUUUGCUUGCAGGGUAUUGCUUUACAAUGAAUUUCUGUUAUUGUUGCUGAGGGGCCAGUCUAGAACUACAUGUAUCGUGUCAGUUGAGGGAGAAGGAGAUUGAGGCUGGUAGAAACUGCAGGCACCAGACAGUACCAUGCCCCUGCACUACCUUCCAGCUCAGUCCCACACCUAAUCUAAGCUGAUUGUGUGAAUCGUAGUUAUUUAUAAAUAGGUCACCCGGAACUCUUUGCAAUUUUAACGGUGAUGACUUGCGUGGGAGCUUCUGCCUCUAUCCUCUCUGUUGUGUUUACCGUCUCGCAGUGUGACCGUGAAUUAACCUCACUUUCUUUUCCCCCGCAGAGGUAGAGCGUUUAUUUGAAACAAUCAGUCUUAUCUCACCGAGCGCUAUCGUUUUACCGGCUUUGCUGACCGAAGGGUAGU